RNAcentral lists this ribosomal RNA (411 nucleotides) under Escherichia coli. RNAcentral describes it as "partial 23S ribosomal RNA". It matches the Rfam family "Bacterial large subunit ribosomal RNA", at positions 1475 to 1866 of the family's 2925-position model. The record is from RNAcentral. Lineage: Bacteria; Pseudomonadati; Pseudomonadota; Gammaproteobacteria; Enterobacterales; Enterobacteriaceae.
GAGAAGGCUAUGUUGGCCGGGCGACGGUUGUCCCGGUUUAAGCGUGUAGGCUGGUUUUCCAGGCAAAUCCGGAAAACCAAGGCUGAGGCGUGAUGACGAGGCACUACGGUGCUGAAGCGACAAAUGCCCUGCUUCCAGGAAAAGCCUCUAAGCAUCAGGUAACAUUAAAUCGUACCCCAAACCGACACAGGUGGUCAGGUAGAGAAUACCAAGGCGCUUGAGAGAACUCGGGUGAAGGAACUAGGCAAAAUGGUGCCGUAACUUCGGGAGAAGGCACGCUGAUAUGUAGGUGAAGCGACUUGCUCGUGGAGCUGAAAUCAGUCGAAGAUACCAGCUGGCUGCAACUGUUUAUUAAAAACACAGCACUGUGCAAACACGAAAGUGGACGUAUACGGUGUGACGCCUGCCCGG